Dermochelys coriacea (leatherback sea turtle) is the source of this 1740-nucleotide long non-coding RNA. RefSeq lists it as uncharacterized. Lineage: Eukaryota; Metazoa; Chordata; Testudines; Dermochelyidae. The record is from RefSeq and is a predicted model, not a curated record. The transcript has 3 exons.
CUGUGAUUUUUGGAGAGCAAAUGAUAAGCUAUGGAGUUUGUCACUUUCGAUGCACAGAAUGCUUAGGGCAGAUAGCUUUUCUUGCAGAAUUUUCUAGGCAGACAUCUCUAUUCAUGUUUGCUUCUCUAUCCUCUGUCUCCCCCAGGACCACUAAUUAAUCUCGAAUAAACAUCUCGGACACACAGAGUCACAACAAACUAUAUGCGCGAAAGAGAAAGAAAGAAUUUACCAGAAAAAAGACAGCACUCUCUGAUAUUUACUGUGAAGGUUCCCGAAACUGACAGAGGGAAGCCAACACAAAUGUGUCCUCCUCAAGAUCCACUAGACCCAAAUCCAUAAGAUAAUCACCUGCAAACUCAAUCAUGUGAAGCAUGGAUAGCGCAUGAAGCAGAAAGUGGCGUGCACGCUAAAAUACACAAUGGUACGUAUGUACAGAUCAAAAGAAGAAAGAACACACUAACACUUAAGAAAAUGAAGAGAAACAGGAGCGAAGGCACUCUAUGACUGAGUGUGCUGGACUGUAAACAAAAGACGGUGGCCUUCUGGCUAUUACCAGCCAAAGGGGAUGUUAUACAUGACAUCACUCCUAGGACGAGUCCCAUAGGAGUAUGAGCUUGGCAGGAUUGCUUCACGACACUGCCAUCUCCGACCUCAUAUUUUCCCCAAUUUUAUCGGCAGUUAGAUUAUUUAUUUAUUUUAAAAAAUUAUGAAGGCACGGUCAGAAUUUUACCAGUAGCGGCUGACCAACAAAACGCUGCCUUAGGAGGCUGAUAGCAGACUUACUUGCAGAACUACUAAUUUUACAAGUGCAAUUAUCUUUUUUUUCCAAGCCCUGGCCUCCCGCCUGUCAAUAAUGAACAAUUAGUGAAGCGUAAUGGUAGGGUAAAGGUAUUUGUGUAGCCAGAUGUGUAUAUUUUUGUCAUAUUUGAACAAAAAUGACUAUAUUUAGAAAGAAUCUUCUUUUCCCAUAUCUCCUUUAUUUAUCAACCAAUUUUGAUAAAAUUUGAAUCAUGCUUCACAUGAUUGAGACAUUUUUUUCUUUUUUAGAGGCCCCUCAUACUGCGAGGCCCUAAAUUGUAGCUUAGUUAUUUUAUGCCUUAAUCCGGCCUUCUCUGAAGGUCUUGGGAUUUUGGAUAGAAUGAGAUGAACAGGGUACAAGUGGCAUGUGUACUCCAUAUAUGCUUGAGAUAUAUCUUUAGAGCACUAGAAAUGCCCAUUUAUGGCACAACUUUCCAAAGGAGCUCUAAAGGUUAGAACAAAAUGAUGGAAGAACUAUGACCAAGGAAUUGUGGAAAGAGAAAUUUAUCUUGAACAGAAAGAUUUCUGGAGCUAUAAGAAUAGCCUUUUCCUCAACAACAGCACUGUGGUUUUCAUACAGGGGAACCCAUUCAAAAACCUACUUUUCUGAGGUAAUGGUGCCUAGAAAGGCCAGCUAUUGGUUUGUCUAACAGGUCUUUCUGAUUAAUCUUGGCAUCUGAUGAUACCCAAAUGGAGAAGCCAAUGUGCCUCCCUACAGAAUGCCUCUAUGACCAGUACUCAUGUUUCUAUGGUGCUUAGUUGUACAACUCCAACCAUCCUGGAGAAUCUCUAGUAUAGCUGAGACUACCAGAACUUUGUGAUUGUCAUUAUACUUGUGUAAGCAGAGUCAGGAUGAGCUCCACCCUGACAUCUGGUGGUGAGUUGUGGCAAGCUGUGGAAAAGAACUUCAGGGGCUGAUCUUAUUUACAUAGGCACACCCAC